GCUCAGUGCUUUGACCUUGUCAGAACUCCGUGACUCAGAGCCAUCUUCUACUGUUUCCCUUAACGGCACCUUCUUCAAGAUGGAGCUUUUUGAAGACACGCGAGAGAGCACCAAGAUUUCAUCUCUGUUGGCAGAAUUGGAGGCAAUUCAAAGAAAUUCAGCAUCCCAAAAGAGUGUCAUUGUCUCUCAGUGGACCAACAUGCUGAAAGUUGUAGCAUUGCACCUUAAGAAGCAUGGACUGACUUAUGCCACCAUCGAUGGCUCUGUCAACCCCAAGCAGAGAAUGGACUUGGUAGAGGCAUUUAACCACUCCAGAGGCCCUCAGAGAUAGAGAAAUGUUAUCCAAGAUUUUAAAGUGGAAUCCAUCACUUGAAGAUCAAGCUUGUGACCGAAUUUACCGAGUAGGGCAGCAGAAAGAUGUUGUCAUACACAAAUUUGUUUGUGAGGGAACAGUAGAAGAAAAGAUCUUACAGCUCCAAGAAAAAAAGAAAGAUUUGGCCAAACAAGUUCUAUCAGGGUCUGGAGAAUCUGUCACCAAGCUCACCUUGGCUGACCUCAGAGUCCUUUUUGGCAUCUAACCUCCUGUGGAUAAGGGUUCAGAAUAGCACCAUUGCUGGUUUGUAUUAAGGUCUGGGAAUAACAACCUAACCAUGAGCCUUGAACUCUGUUCUUUGCAUUUCAAUUUCACCGUCAAGCCUUUCACCUUCCUCAAAAUGAGGCAUAAUCUUAUCCCCAGAAUUGAGGAAACGUUAUGUUAACCAAUUAGUUAACCAAUUAUGUUAAUAAUUUAUUUAAUGAGUGGU
RNAcentral lists this small RNA (803 nucleotides) under Pongo abelii (Sumatran orangutan). RNAcentral describes it as "processed transcript". Lineage: Eukaryota; Metazoa; Chordata; Mammalia; Primates; Hominidae. The record is from RNAcentral.